AUCCCCUGAUGAGGGCAUUUAUGAAGUAACUCCUUGAAUUGUUCUCAUGCCUCAUAUAAGGAUUCAUCUUCCAUCUGCUAGAAAGUGAUGAUCUCAUUCUGUAACUU
This is a non-coding RNA of Gossypium raimondii (Peruvian cotton), 107 nucleotides long. The record is from Rfam. Lineage: Eukaryota; Viridiplantae; Streptophyta; Magnoliopsida; Malvales; Malvaceae.